Molecule: ribosomal RNA, 325 nt
Filed under: Colletotrichum siamense
Lineage: Eukaryota; Fungi; Ascomycota; Sordariomycetes; Glomerellales; Glomerellaceae
Description: partial large subunit ribosomal RNA
Rfam family: Eukaryotic large subunit ribosomal RNA
Source: RNAcentral
AUACCGGCCAGAGACCGAUAGCGAACAAGUAGAGUGAUCGAAAGAUGAAAAGCACUUUGAAAAGAGGGUUAAACAGCACGUGAAAUUGUUAAAAGGGAAGCGCUUGUGACCAGACUUGCGUCCGGUGAAUCACCCAGCUCUCGCGGCUGGGGCACUUCGCCGGCUCAGGCCAGCAUCAGCUCGCUGUCGGGGACAAAAGCUUCAGGAACGUAGCUCUCUUCGGGGAGUGUUAUAGCCUGUUGCAUAAUACCCUUCGGCGGGCUGAGGUACGCGCUCCGCAAGGAUGCUCAUAAGGUCAUCAGCGACCCGUCUUGAAACACGGACC